CCUACGGGAGGCAGCAGUGGGGGAUAUUGCACAAUGGGGGGAACCCUGAUGCAGCGACGCCGCGUGGGUGAAGAAGCGCCUCGGCGCGUAAAGCCCUGUCAGCAGGGAAGAAAAUGACGGUACCUGACGAAGAAGCCCCGGCUAACUACGUGCCAGCAGCCGCGGUAAUACGUAGGGGGCAAGCGUUAUCCGGAUUUACUGGGUGUAAAGGGGGCGCAGGCGGCGAUGCAAGCCAGGAGUGAAAGCCCGGGGCCCAACCCCGGGGCUGCUCUUGGAACUGCGUGGCUGGAGUGCAGGAGGGGCAGGCGGAAUUCCUGGUGUAGCGGUGAAAUGCGUAGAUAUCAGGAGGAACACCAGUGGCGAAGGCGGCCUGCUGGACUGCAACUGACGUUGAGGCCCGAAAGCGUGGGGAGCAAACAGGAUUAGAUACCCGAGUAGUC
RNAcentral lists this ribosomal RNA (440 nucleotides) under uncultured bacterium. Its description in RNAcentral is "partial 16S ribosomal RNA". It matches the Rfam family "Bacterial small subunit ribosomal RNA", at positions 338 to 795 of the family's 1533-position model. The record is from RNAcentral.